GAAGGGCUGGUUAUGAGUAAUGUGAUACAAUUUUAUGAGAUGAUGAGAUUACAAUAACAAUACCUCCUCUCAUAGAAUAGCCAGCAAGUCUCCACUAAAUAACAGUGCCUUGAUUUUAUAGAUGUUUCAUCAUGGAUAUUGAGUUAAUGUGAACCAUUUGUAGACACAGGAGUUUAUUAAAGACUUAUAUAAUAUCUUUCAAGUAUUUAGAAUAGUGUUGAAAUUAAGCCUGCAUCCCCACGAUUUUCAGCGGUGCUGAUGCCUAAUAAACUCAACCCCUUGCAUGCCAAAAUUGGCUUAAAGCCCAUCUGUUACCCAAGCUACACUUCAAGCAUCGAGGUUCAAAAAUGUGAUUUUGAAUAUGCAAGAGUUUGAGGAAUUCACUACUCACACUUUCUUGAACAGUCUAUCCAAGUGCAUCAAGCAAAAUGUGAGUAAAGAAAUUUUGAGCAAAGGAUUGAUAGUAAUGUUGAAUACAUUUAAUAGUAGAUCAAAGAUUAAAAGGUGAAAGUGAGGGUGAGAAGAGUGUAUGAAUGCUUUGUGUUCUGACAAAGAGAAUGUAGCACCCAGGUCCUACCUGCUUGGAUGCAUUGCCAGUGCCCACGGUAGGCCAUUUUAUCCAGGUUUUUAGGUAUUGUCUUAUUUUGUUUGUUUUUUUUCUUUUCAGGAGUCUUAGUCCAAGACCAAUAACUCCGUAACUGGUAGAUUUGGAAGACUUUAAUAGUGCUUAACAUUUUGUACAUAGCUUUAUAACAGUUUUCUUUUUCUUUUUUUCUGAGAGAUUCUUUUCAAUAUACCCCAUCAUGGUUGAACUCAAAAAUCAUUGCUUAUUUAAAAUCUACAACUGCUGACGUUUUGUAACGUUCGCAUUCCAGAUACAACAGAGAAAUGCAUAAUGUCCAGUCAAUUUAUUAAAGUUCCAAAGUCGGUCGCGCGCAGUGGCUCACGCCUGUAAUCUCAACACUUCGGGAGGCCGAGGCGUGUGGAUCACGAGUAUGUUUCCAGUCUCAAUAGAAAUCGAUGCCAAUCCAGAAAUACAAGCAUUAUUCUAAUACUUCUCACACAUUACUGCAGGAGUGAGGACACAGCGAAAGUGAGACAAGGAAAAGAGAACAAAAUAAAACAGGAAAGACAGAAAAGCCAAUACCACACGUGUUAAGAGUAACAAGCUCCCGUGCUGCUAGAGAAAGUCCUCAGCUAGAAACUGGUGCAAAUUCUGGAGAUGAGACCUUGUAGAGUGUUAAGAAUGGUUUUCUUCCCAGCAGCUACAGCUAAGGAAUAGGGGCUGGGCUAUGAAUACAUCUGCUACAAACCAAUAAAGCCCUUAUGCUCCUUUUGGUGAUCGACAAUGUAUUUAAAAAUAUUAGAUGAUCAAGAAGGGCUGCAGAAAGGAGGAAACAGAAACAAACAGCACACCUCUUGGUUUAUUUUUUUUCAUUUCAUCAGUUUCAAGGAAAAUAUGUUGGGAGUUCCUGGCAUAGAGAAUGUCACAAAGACAUGUUUUCAAUAGUAGUGCUAUCCCGAGGGCAGAGAAGACCCAGAGAAAGCCCAAGUGGCUGCUGGAACAAAAUCAGACACCGUGCCACCUGUCCACACUCCUUGGCUCUGCCAUCAUGCUGAAGAUCGCUUUAAAGGACUGGCUUCCCUCCCCCCAAAAUUAAAAGAGCACAGACUGAGAAACUGAAUGUGGGAGACAGCAGUGGAUUAUGCUGUUCUCAGGGGUCACCUCAGGUUUGGAAGCAUUCUUUCAAAUUAACCCAUCUCAGGCCAUCUGCAGAGAAGAAAGGUGGUACCUAACUUUUUUUCUUGUCGGCAUUUGGUAGGGGUGUUUUAUUGACCAAAUAUGUUCCCACAACCUCGUUUUUUGUGACUAACUAAAUAUAGUAGAGUUUUAAAUUUUAUCAUCAAAAUCUAUAGACAAUUUUUGAUGAAAAUAGACUCCAUCUCUAUGUCCUGCUUUUCUUCUUCUUAUUAAUUACAUUGCUGUAUAAAAGAACAAGACUUCAGCAUCAAGAAUAUCUUGUCUCUUGGCAUUGAAUUUAUACAAGGUGCUCUUUCUUUAAUGCUGUCUCAAAGGACAUAUUUUUACUCAUUAAAAAGGAAGAUCGGAAUCUAGUUGUAUGCACUGCUCCAACAUAUUAAUAAUUAAAAUUAGGAGGUAAAUGUGGUCAAAGCUAUAGAAAGACGGAGAUGUCAUUUAUAUGGAUUACUCUAUAGCACUCUACAAACAGAAAUUGUUAAAUAAUAGUUUAUAUAAAUAUUUUGUAGCAUUUCAAAUAUUUGAGUGCUUGAAGUUUCUCCUCUUCUAUAGUUCAGAUUAUCAAUUUGAAGACUUACUCCGCUAGUUAAUAUGUUUUUAGUCUCGUUUGAGUAUUAUAUAAAAGCAAUUUUCAGUUAAAUGUGUUCCGCUUACAUAAAACGUUACAAAUUAUUGAGGAUUUAAUUACUUAUUCAUGUUCCUGUAAUGUCUUUAGAAGAUUUUCUUAUUAUUACCUAUCAAUAUAUGUAUGCUUUGUCAAAGAAAAAUCAAACAUAUAUAUCAUUGAAAUUGAAACUUUUUAAAAGUACUUAUUAAUUCUAUUGAAAAACCACAUCCAUAGGAACAAUUACAAUAUAAUAUUGUGAACAUGUAAACAUAUACCCUAUGUCUAUUUUAUGUAUAAGCAUGUAUGAUUAAAAAUAUAGUGAAGAAUUUUUAAACCUAGUAUUAUAAAGUAAAAAUUAGUUAACUUCCGAUGAUUAUUUGUUAAUUAAGAUAAAAUUAUUUUGAUUUGGGUGAUUUUAAAUAAAGAAAAAUAUUAAAUUACAUGACAAAAAUUCUUUAUAAAAUGUUUAUGAUUUUUACAUUGGUUUUAUCACUUUUCCCACUAUUUUAUUUUAAGAUGACCUGCCUUGUUUAAAACACUGUAUUCAUCUUAGUUAAAUUAGAUUCCAUUUGUAAAAUAAUUAACAAAUGAUUUGCUCUAUUGUACAGUGCGGUUAUAAACUGAGUCAGUAUCUCAAGAUUUGAUCCCCAUUAUCAUCAUCUGUGGCC
RNAcentral lists this long non-coding RNA (3034 nucleotides) under Homo sapiens (human). RNAcentral describes it as "HSALNT0295147". The record is from RNAcentral. Lineage: Eukaryota; Metazoa; Chordata; Mammalia; Primates; Hominidae.